CUACGGGAGGCAGCAGUGGGGAAUCUUAGACAAUGGGCGCAAGCCUGAUCUAGCCAUGCCGCGUGAGUGAUGAAGGCCUUAGGGUCGUAAAGCUCUUUCGCCUGUGAAGAUAAUGACUGUAGCAGGUAAAGAAACCCCGGCUAACUCCGUGCCAGCAGCCGCGGUAAUACGGAGGGGGUUAGCGUUGUUCGGAAUUACUGGGCGUAAAGCGCGCGUAGGCGGACUAUUAAGUCAGAGGUGAAAUCCCAGGGCUCAACCCUGGAACUGCCUUUGAUACUGGUAGUCUUGAGUUCGAGAGAGGUGAGUGGAAUUCCGAGUGUAGAGGUGAAAUUCGUAGAUAUUCGGAGGA
This 349-nucleotide ribosomal RNA is filed under the name uncultured Roseobacter sp. RNAcentral's name for it is "bacterial SSU rRNA". It matches the Rfam family "Bacterial small subunit ribosomal RNA", at positions 339 to 705 of the family's 1533-position model. Lineage: Bacteria; Pseudomonadati; Pseudomonadota; Alphaproteobacteria; Rhodobacterales; Roseobacteraceae. The record is from RNAcentral.